Molecule: long non-coding RNA, 159 nt
Organism: Athene cunicularia (burrowing owl)
Lineage: Eukaryota; Metazoa; Chordata; Aves; Strigiformes; Strigidae
Exons: 3
Source: RefSeq, a predicted model, not a curated record
CAUAAGGAUUAUUGAGUCCAACUCUCUGCUCCUCACAGCACUACCUAAAAUUAAACCAUAUGUUUAAGAGUAUUGUCCAGAUGCUCUCCUUGAACUCUGACAGGCUUGGUGCUGUGACCACUUCCCUGGAAAGCCUGUUACAGUGACUAACCACCAUCU